RNAcentral lists this unclassified non-coding RNA (329 nucleotides) under soil metagenome. RNAcentral describes it as "partial contains 5.8S ribosomal RNA, internal transcribed spacer 2, and large subunit ribosomal RNA". The stretch from base 1 to 120 matches the Rfam family "5.8S ribosomal RNA", at positions 35 to 154 of the family's 154-position model. The record is from RNAcentral.
GAUGAAGAACGUAGCGAAAUGCGAUAAGUACUGUGAAUUGCAGAAUUCAGUGAAUCAUCGAAUCUUUGAACGCACAUUGCGCCCUCUGGUAUUCCGGGGGGCAUGCCUGUUCGAGCGUCAUUAUAACCACUCAAGCUCUCGCUUGGUAUUGGAGUUCGCGAUCUCGCGGCUCCUAAAAUCAGUGGCGGUGCCUGUCGGCUCUACGCGUAGUAAUACUCCUCGCGAUUGAGUCCGGUAGGUUUACUUGCCAGCAACCCCCAAUUUUUACAGGUUGACCUCGGAUCAGGUAGGGAUACCCGCUGAACUUAAGCAUAUCAAUAAGCGGAGGA